GACGAACGCUGGCGGCGUGCUUAACACAUGCAAGUCGAGCGGUAAGGCCCUUUUGGGGGUACACGAGCGGCGAACGGGUGAGUAACACGUGGGUGACCUGCCCUCAGCUCUGGGAUAAGCCUGGGAAACUGGGUCUAAUACUGGAUAUGACCUUUCCUCGCAUGGGGUUGGGUGGAAAGUUUUUCGGUCUGGGGAGUGGGCCCGGCGGCCUAUCAGCUUGUUGGGUGGGGUGAUGGCCUACCAAGGCGACGACGGGUAGCCGGCCUGAGA
This 270-nucleotide ribosomal RNA is filed under the name uncultured bacterium. RNAcentral describes it as "partial 16S ribosomal RNA". It matches the Rfam family "Bacterial small subunit ribosomal RNA", at positions 28 to 297 of the family's 1533-position model. The record is from RNAcentral.